Molecule: long non-coding RNA, 816 nt
Filed under: Olea europaea subsp. europaea
Lineage: Eukaryota; Viridiplantae; Streptophyta; Magnoliopsida; Lamiales; Oleaceae
Source: RNAcentral
CAAAUCAUUCUCUCUCUCUCUCUCUUACCAUUUUGAUCUCUUCUCAGGCAAUAAACUACCCAUCUCGGCGGCACUGUGAGAGCCCUGCUACGAUGACGCCGCCAUCAGAGAAAGAGCGUCUCCAUAGCAACAACAUUUUGUCGCUUUUCUCUCUAUCGUCGAUUUUGGCUCUACCAUGCUUUCCUAUGAAGCACUAAUCCGCAUGUCACUGUGCAGUGUUUGUCGCGAUAAUCACCAUGGUUCUAAGGGUGGUUGGGUGGCGGCGACGAUUCUGUUAGAUUUGGUGGUGUCUGUGGUUUUUAUUAGUAGCGGUGGUGGCAGAUCUUUGUUGUUGGGAUGGGUUUUGUUGGAUCUAACGAUAGACCUAGUGGUGGUGGAUUUGGCGGUGGCAAUGGUGCUUUUGUAGUUAAAAAUGAUGGGUGUUGAUUUGUUUGAUAUGGCAAUGUUGCUGUCGAGAAGUGAUGGUGGUGGUUUUGGCGAUGGUGUGACUGGAGGUAGUGGUAAAGUGGUGAACACAAGUUUUAGUGAUAGUUGAUUGUAGGGAUGUUGAAAGGGUCGAGCCGCUCGUCAGCUCGAUCGCUCGACUCGUCGAAAUAGGGUUCAUGGACGGCUCGAGCUCGUAAAAUCACGAGCGCGAGCGCGAGCCAAGCGGCCUCGUUGGGAGUCGGCUCGCCUUGAAGACGAGUCGCUCGUGGGCUCGUUGAAACGAGCCACGAGCCGCUCAGCUCAUGACUCGUUAUUUAUAGUGAUCAAAACGGUCAUUGAAAUUUUUUAUUUUUUAUUUUUUCCCUUCUAUUGUAAAUACCUUAACUCCCA